RNAcentral lists this transfer RNA (66 nucleotides) under Bivetiella cancellata. RNAcentral's name for it is "tRNA-Cys". The record is from RNAcentral. Lineage: Eukaryota; Metazoa; Mollusca; Gastropoda; Neogastropoda; Cancellariidae.
CUUACCAUAGUUUAUAAAAAACAUUGACCUGCAGAAUCAAUAAAGGAAAUAAUACUCCUGGUAUGU